AACGAACGCUGGCGGCAUGCCUAACACAUGCAAGUCGAACGAGACCUCCGGGUCUAGUGGCGCACGGGUGCGUAACGCGUGGGAACCUGCCCGUAGGUUCGGAAUAACUCCCCGUAAGGGGUGCUAAUACCGGAUAAUGUCUUCGGACAAAAGAUUUAUCGCCUUUGGAUGGGCCCGCGUUGGAUUAGCCAGUUGGUAGGGUAAAAGCCUACCAAGGCGACGAUCCAUAGCUGGUCUGAGAGGAUGAUCAGCCACACUGGGACUAAGACACGGCCCAGACUCCUACGGGAGGCAGCAGUGGGGAAUAUUGGACAAUGGGCGAAGGCCUGAUCCAGCAAUGCCGCGUGAGUGAUGAAGGCCUUAGGGUUGUGAAGCUCUUUUACCCGGGGUGAUAAUGACGGUACCGGGAGAAUAAGCACCGGCUAACUCCGUG
This 433-nucleotide ribosomal RNA is filed under the name uncultured bacterium. Its description in RNAcentral is "partial 16S ribosomal RNA". It matches the Rfam family "Bacterial small subunit ribosomal RNA", at positions 29 to 507 of the family's 1533-position model. The record is from RNAcentral.